GAUGAACGCUGGCGGCGUGCCUAAUACAUGCAAGUCGAGCGAACGGACGAGAAGCUUGCUUCUCUGAUGUUAGCGGCGGACGGGUGAGUAACACGUGGAUAACCUACCUAUAAGACUGGGAUAACUUCGGGAAACCGGAGCUAAUACCGGAUAAUGUUUUGAACCGCAUGGUUCAAAAGUGAAAGACGGUCUUGCUGUCACUUAUAGAUGGAUCCGCGCUGCAUUAGCUAGUUGGUAAGGUAACGGCUUACCAAGGCAACGAUGCAUAGCCGACCUGAGAGGGUGAUCGGCCACACUGGAACUGAGACACGGUCCAGACUCCUACGGGAGGCAGCAGUAGGGAAUCUUCCGCAAUGGGCGAAAGCCUGACGGAGCAACGCCGCGUGAGUGAUGAAGGUCUUCGGAUCGCAAAACUCUGUUAUUAGGGAAGAACAUAUGUGUAAGUAACUGUGCACAUCUUGACGGUACCUAAUCAGAAAGCCACGGCUAACUACGUG
This 497-nucleotide ribosomal RNA is filed under the name uncultured bacterium. Its description in RNAcentral is "partial 16S ribosomal RNA". It matches the Rfam family "Bacterial small subunit ribosomal RNA", at positions 28 to 507 of the family's 1533-position model. The record is from RNAcentral.